GAUGAAGAACGUAGCGAAAUGCGAUAAGUAAUGCGAAUUGCAGAAUUCAGUGAAUCAUCGAGUCUUUGAACGCACAUUGCGCCCCCUGGUAUUCCGGGGGGCAUGCCUGUCCGAGCGUCAUUGCUGCCCUCAAGCACGGCUUGUGUGUUGGGCCCCGUCCUCCGAUCCCGGGGGACGGGCCCGAAAGGCAGCGGCGGCACCGCGUCCGGUCCUCGAGCGUAUGGGGCUUUGUCACCCGCUCUGUAGGCCCGGCCGGCGCUUGCCGAUCAACCCAAAUUUUUUAUCCAGGUUGACCUCGGAUCAGGUAGGGAUACCCGCUGAACUUAAGCAUAUCAAUAAGCGGAGGA
This 347-nucleotide unclassified non-coding RNA is filed under the name soil metagenome. RNAcentral describes it as "partial contains 5.8S ribosomal RNA, internal transcribed spacer 2, and large subunit ribosomal RNA". The stretch from base 1 to 120 matches the Rfam family "5.8S ribosomal RNA", at positions 35 to 154 of the family's 154-position model. The record is from RNAcentral.